Oryzias melastigma (Indian medaka) is the source of this 1889-nucleotide long non-coding RNA. RefSeq lists it as uncharacterized. The transcript is spliced from 3 exons. The record is from RefSeq and is a predicted model, not a curated record. NCBI's taxonomy places the organism in Eukaryota, Metazoa, Chordata, Actinopteri, Beloniformes, Adrianichthyidae.
AGGAGUGGCCAGUUUUGACUAAAAGAAAUGGAUGCAGAGUGAACUUUGUUUUUGUCAACACAAUACAUGGGACCAGAAAAGUGAAUUCUCUCUGGACUUUAGUGAUCAACUUUUUGAAGGACUCCGAGAGACUUCGGUUGCUAUCCAGAAGCGGGCCUGUGCUGCUCCUCCUCCUCCUGUUCCUGCCUCCUUUGCAACCCAGCUCUGCUAACCACCAUGUGAUGAACUCAGCUUCUACCACCUACCAUCUAUUUAGCUGAAGGAUUUGUGACAGCACUGCACCAGAACAACAGCUGACACCAGGAGGAGUGUAGAAUAUCGCAAAGGCAUAAAAUAAUGAUGCACAAGUUUUGCAAAGGAACAUAGAAGCAGUUAAAAAAUAACUCCCUGCUGUGAACCUCUCAGGGCUCUAUAGAUGUUGUCUGCACUUCAAAGACUCCUGAUAUACAAAGGUAUCAGCUGAACUCCACCAUCAAUGAUGGAAUAAGAUGUCAUAUCUUAAGCUGUGCUGCAAAGACUUACCCAUGUUACAGUUUUAACGAAGAUCCUCCUAGACUGAGAGCUCGCUUCCCAGAGGAUUUUACUCUGAAAAGUUGACAAAAAGUUGAAAAAAAAAGCAUAUUUAAAAAGCCUCCACUACAAAAGGUUAAACUUUGCAGCACUUGGGUGCUGGUUUUCAUAAUGAUACUGCUAGAAAAACACCACAGAGACCCAACAAACGCUGCAGAAUCAGCAGAGGUAAUGGGACGCAACACAUUUCCCAAAAGAGCGGGGAGAAAGUGGAGCAGCAGAAAUCGAGAGGCCCCACCUCAGUUAUCAAACAUUUAUUUGGAACAUCGUAGAGACAGCCACCUCCGAGAGGGGUUAGAUGACUAUUACUUCAGUAGACAACAUGUUUAUUAUUUAAAAUGAUGCCAUUUUAACUUUAGAGCUCUAUUCAGGUGGGAAACAGAAUUGAAGCACAAUCGGGUACAAACUAUAAAAUAAACGUGUCAGAAGAUGCUGCUUUUUCCUACUUUUGAGUUAUUUUCAUGAAUGCGUCAUCCUCUACGGCCCUAUCUAAACAUUUUCAGUGGAUGCAAACACUGACCUUCUUUGGUUUGGGUUUACAGCAUCUGCUAUGUAUUCAGAGGAAACCACUGAGUUGUUUUUGCAGCAGCAGUGAUGAGUCUGUGGGCAGUAAUAUGCAGAGAAGAGAAGUUUAAAUAAAUCCUGUAAUGUGGACACUGGAUGGGUACAGUUUAUUGUAGAAAUACUUCACUGUUUUACCUAGAAAACAGCAUCUCCCAAAGUUAUUCUUCACCAUUCUCACCUCACCGCACACCUGGACUGAGUCAGACAAGUAAAAACCAUGCAGGUAUGGCUAAAUGGAAAAUAUUUUGAAUUUUUUUGGGGUCAUUUAUUUUAGAAUUUAUACCAAUCAAGAUUAACCCUAUAGAAAACAAACUUGAAGUUUGCUCCUGUUGCUAUGGCAACAGUGUUCUCUCAAUUGUGCAAAGUAUACAUCAGAGCUGACCAAACUUGAAACAUGAAAUUUGUUUGCCUUCAGUGAUGAAACUUCAAAAGAUAACUUGGACAUCUCACUUUAAAUAUCAUUGGAAGUGGUAACAAUCUUUGAAGAUUACCUUCAUAUUUUCAUCUAAAAUUACAAACCUGAUCAGUGAAACUGAUUUCAUUAAUAAUGUUAUUGGUUUAAAUUCAAAUUUUCUUUACUUAUGACCAUGUGAAAAUAUUAGAAAACUUGUCUUUUUUUAGACAUGAGAAGUUAAUGUGUUUUUGCAGAUGUUAUUGAGCUGUCGGUUCCACUUUUGCUUUUCUUGAUAUUGUGUGUUUUUUAUGUUUGUGUUGAGGAUCUCCGAAUGACAAAACAUUAAAUCAGUCAGCUGUGA